Molecule: long non-coding RNA, 872 nt
Organism: Mastomys coucha (southern multimammate mouse)
Lineage: Eukaryota; Metazoa; Chordata; Mammalia; Rodentia; Muridae
Exons: 2
Source: RefSeq, a predicted model, not a curated record
CCGGGCACCAUCUUGGAUUUUAUCGUCCAAGCGGCUGCCUACAGAGAAGGAAGUAGGAGUUGGAGGGGCAGUCCAUGAGCUGGAGGGAAGGAGAGAAGGGCAAGGAUGCUAGCAUUAUUUUGAAAUGUCUAACAGAUGCUGGUGAUACUGCAGGAGCCCAGAGGGUGCAUGGGCUUUGAUAUGUUCAUAGAUACAACAAGUAGCCAUGUGUCCCUUCUGCCAGAGGGAAGGAAGAGUACUCUUUUGGGAGAUGGAACAGUUUCACAAGGUCCUGAGGAAGUUGGCUUUUAUCUGACCACCAGAAGCCGUCCUAGUCUAGGUCGGGCUACUUUCUGAUUAUCUGAAUUGCCUUUUCAAGUCUGGGGAACUGGAGUUUCCUUUGAACCUGACACCAACUUAUUGGUAAGCAGCAAUUUUCAGCAUGCCUCCUGAGGUGUAGGAUCACCUAGCCAUUCCACAAGUACACCCUCAGCCUCUUGGAAGACCCACAGACUCUGCCGAGAACUGUAGAAACCAAUUGCAUGCAUCAACUCUAGACCUUGAAGGAGACUUUUUUUUUUCUGUCCCUAGUAAGAGUCACAGAACUUUAAAAAUGACAGGUCUUCUCUCAGCUGCCAGACUCAGGAGGUGGCGACCACCUGCAUGGGAUCCUCGCAGAGUAACUAAAACAGCCAUAAGACACCAAGCAGAGGACCCAGAGCGGAAGAGCAGUGGAUAUGGAAUUCACUUCCUCUGUGUCUGAAGCAAGGACUUAGACUCAAGCAACGUAUUAAAGAGGUGACCCAAAGUGCAGAAGAAGAAUAACUGUUAAUCCUGGGAGUCACAAAAAAAUAAAUAGAUAAAUAAAUAAAAGAACCAAGUCCACAAUUGAA